Molecule: long non-coding RNA, 2616 nt
Organism: Tribolium madens (black flour beetle)
Lineage: Eukaryota; Metazoa; Arthropoda; Insecta; Coleoptera; Tenebrionidae
Exons: 5
Source: RefSeq, a predicted model, not a curated record
UUUAAAACUAUAUUUUUUUUUAUUAUUAAACUUAGUUUUCGAGAUAACGUUUUUUUCUUUCUUUUUUUUUUUUGUUUUUCUUGGUAUUUUCUUCCCCUCCCCACGCCCAAUCCGAGAGCCGGCUGGCACCAACGUGUGUUGCCGAAAUUAGGUAACAAUGCAUCUAGUGUGUUUAGGUGUAAUGAAACGGUUAAUUACUUUUUGGGUAAAAGGAAAUAGAGCUGUAAGAAUUAUGACUCAAAUAUAACUAAAGUUUGCGGACAUUUGUCAACAUUUAGAUCUUGCAUACCGACAGAAUUUGCUCGGCUUCCACGAUCAAUUUUAGAUAUUAAUCGAUGGAAAGCAACUGAAUUAAGACAGUUUCUGUUAUACACUGGUCCUAUUGUGUUAAAGGGAAAUUUAAGUUCCCGUGAAUUUGAUCAUUUCUUAAGCCUUCACUGUGCUAUAAGAAUUUUAAUCGAUGAAAAUUUGUGUCACAAAUAUAAUGAUUUUGCUAAAACAUUAUUAGAGUUUUUUAUAGAAAAUUUUGGUGACCUUUAUGGUGCUGAAUUCGUGAAUCACAACGUUCAUAAUUUAAUUCAUUUACCAAACGAAGUAAAAAAAAAUGGUGUUUUGGACAAUUUUAGUUCAUUUAAAUUUGAAAACACUAUGUAUGAAAUAAAGCUACAUUUAAAAACCUCAAAUAAAGCUCUCAAACAAUUAAUUAAUAGAGUUGAUCAAAUCAGAACGCAUAGUAAAGCAGAGGAGCCAGUUAAAUUUCCUCAACUUAAAAGGCAAAGAUUAGUUUUUAUUAGUACAAAGAAAUUCAAAAAUAAGUGACAAAAUCUUUUUGCACUGUUAUGCAUUUGAUAAGAUUCAACCAUAUUUUGAUCUACCGUGCAAAUCAACAAUAUUUCAUAAUGGUAUUUCAAAGAAUGUGAAUAACGUACUUGACAAAGUAGAAGUAACUCAAGUUAUUGGCAAAUGUAUACGUUACAAAGAUUACAUUACAAUGAGUUUUAUUGUUAUAAUAAUAAACAAAACAAAUUUUUAAACAAUGGUAUUAUAAUGUUUAAAAUUAAAACCUAAAAAGUAAAUUAAAUGACAGUUUGGUAAUGCAUGGCUCAUAUUAUAACACUAUAAACAACCUAAUAAUCAGAAUUAACAAAAUAUAAUCUUUCUUACCUAUCGGUGUAAACAACAGUAAAAAAUUAAAAUUAUUAUGGACUUAUUUUAAACUCGAACAAGUAUGUCAACAUAAUUUUAUUAUUAUAUUUGAUAAACUAAUAUUUUCCCCAUAAAAUCAUUACCAAAAGUUUGGACAACUUGUCAGCCGAUAUUAUAAAUUUCGAUUAAAUUUUAAUAAUAAUUUUAAUAAUAAGACAUUUAGACAAAAAUUGUUUUGAAUGUGUAUGUGUAAUUUCAAAAUUGGCCGUUGUUAAGGUAAUUAAGAACACAAUUCUUACUUAUACAAAAAUUUCAUUUGUUUUUUAGGCGUUGUACACUUUAGCCCAUUUUAAAGACCAAUUCUAUUCUGCCGUCCCAUCGUCUUGGCUUGUCGAAGAGAAGGAUAGUUUUUAUUGUUACUGGCCAGUUAAUAAAAAAAAUGUUCGUAAUUUAAUUAUUCGAAAUUCUAAACCAGGUGCCGACUGGCAGCUGCAUGAAGUUUCAGUUUUAAAACAAUUUAGUAAAUAGACAUAAAUUUGAUAUACUUAUUCCUAUUUAAUAAUCAUUAUCAUUAUAACUAGACACCUACGAAGAAGCCUUAGAAAAAGAGAAGUAUUUUACCAGCAGCGGAUUAUCAACAUCUUCAGAAGCAGAUGAAAUUAUAAGAAGGAAAAAAUAUAAAAGAAAAACUAAGACUUUUAAAGUAGCAAAUGGCGGAGAUUUGCCUGAAUUAAUUGAAGAAAUUGAUAAAUUUCUUUAACAAUAUACUAUCCCUUAUUCUAAAAGAUUGCUCUUUUAUUAACAGUUGACUCUUCUACACAAAAUACAGACCACGAUGGGAUUAUAAAUUUACGUCAAGUUAUUAUUGAAUUAUUGACGGAAAACAAUUUGCCAGAGAUCGCCAACAGUUUGUCACAUGAUGAUCAAAAUUCGUCAAAACAAGGUACAGGUACAGAUCAAAAUUGUGUACCUGCCAAAAAAAAAAACAAUGGAGGAGUGCUUCUUAGAAAUAAAAAAUGAAUUGGCAAUUAUUUCUGUAAGAUUGCAUAACAUCGAGGUAAAACUUGAAGCAAAUAGCUUGGCUGAUAAUCAAGUGACACUUCCAAAAAUGCCACUGGAAAACAUAAGAGAAAUGGUUUUCUUUGAGGACACUCUUGAAAAGGAUCACGAUGUGACUAAAGUUUUUCUGGAAAGAAUGACAUAUAUAGGCGGCUAUAAUGAAAGAAACUGUAUUAACAGAUGUCUUCAAAACUACAUUACAAUUUAUGUCGCCACAUUUUGUUAGUUGGACAGGACAAAAAAAUAAUAUUAAAAUGUCUGGUUUAUAAAGUCAAUGUUAAUUAUAAAAGAUGCACUAAAGUCUAAUUAUAAGACAAUGACAAACAGAAGUUUCCAAAAUGGGGUAAUGGAGUGGCUGAAACAUGCAAAUCAGCGCAAUUUGCGAGAAAAACAACACGUAAUGAAAUCGCC